RNAcentral lists this ribosomal RNA (440 nucleotides) under uncultured bacterium. RNAcentral describes it as "partial 16S ribosomal RNA". It matches the Rfam family "Bacterial small subunit ribosomal RNA", at positions 338 to 795 of the family's 1533-position model. The record is from RNAcentral.
CCUACGGGUGGCAGCAGUGGGGAAUAUUGGACAAUGGGCGCAACCCUGAUCCAGCGACGCCGCGUGAGUGAAGAAGUCAUUCGUUAUGUAAAGCUCUUUUAGCAGGGAAGAAAAUGACGGUACCUGUGUAAGAUGCGCCGGCUAACUCUGUGCCAGCAGCCGCGGUAAUAUGUAGGGGGCAAGCGUUAUCCGGGUUUACUGGGUGUAAAGGGAGCGUAGACGGGAGUGCAAGUCUGGAGUGAAAGGCGGGGGCUCAACCCCCGGACUGCUGUGGAAACUGUACGGCUGGAGUGCAGGAGAGGUAGGUGGAAUUCCUAGUGUAGCGGUGAAAUGCGUAGAUAUUAGGAGGAACACCAGUGGCGAAGGCGGCUUACUGGACUGUAACUGACGGUGAGGCUCGAAAGCGUGGGGAGCAAACAGGAUUAGAUACCCGUGUAGUC